RNAcentral lists this ribosomal RNA (495 nucleotides) under uncultured bacterium. RNAcentral's name for it is "partial 16S ribosomal RNA". It matches the Rfam family "Bacterial small subunit ribosomal RNA", at positions 28 to 507 of the family's 1533-position model. The record is from RNAcentral.
GACGAACGCUGGCGGCGUGCCUAAUACAUGCAAGUAGGACGCUGAAGGCGGAGCUUGCUUCUCUGGAUGAGUUGCGAACGGGUGAGUAACGCGUAGGUAACCUGCCUGUUAGCGGGGGAUAACUAUUGGAAACGAUAGCUAAUACCGCAUAAUAGCACCUGUUGCAUGAUAUUUGCUGAAAAGGUGCAAUUGCAUCACUACCAGAUGGACCUGCGUUGGAUUAGCUAGUUGGUGGGGUAACGGCUCACCAAGGCGACGAUACAUAGCCGACAUGAGAGGGGGAUCGGCCAGACUGGGACUGAGACACGGCACAGACGGCUACAGGAGGCAGCAAGAGGGAAUCGGCGGGAAGGGGUGGAAGACUGACCGAGCAAGGCCGAAUGAGUGAAGAAGGUUGUCGGGUGGGAAAGGACUGUUGUAAGGGAAGAAAGCGCGUGAGCCUGGAAAGAUCACACUGUGACGGUAACUUAUAAAAAAGGAACGGCUAACUACGUG